GUCAGCAGCCGCGGGAACACCGGCGGCCCGAGUGGUGAUCGUGAUUAUUGGGUCUAAAGGGUCCGUAGCCGGUUUGGUCAGUCCUCCGGGAAAUCUGAUAGCUCAACUAUUAGGCUUUCGGGGGAUACUGCCAGACUUGGAACCGGGAGAGGUAAGAGGUACUACAGGGGUAGGAGUGAAAUCUUGUAAUCCCUGUGGGACCACCUGUGGCGAAGGCGUCUUACCAGAACGGGUUCGACGGUGAGGGACGAAAGCUGGGGGCACGAACCGGAUUAGAUACCCGGGUAGUCCCAGCCGUAAACGAUGCUCGCUAGGUGUCAGGCAUGGCGCGACCGUGUCUGGUGCCGCAGGGAAGCCGUGAAGCGAGCCACCUGGGAAGUACGGCCGCAAGGCUGAAACUUAAAGGAAUUGGCGGGGGAGCACAACAACGGGUGGAGCCCUGCGGUUUAAUUGGACUCAACGCCGGACAACUCACCGGGGGCGACAGCAAUAUGUAGGCCAAGCUGAAGACUUUGCCUGAAUCGCUGAGAAGAGGUGCAUGG
Molecule: ribosomal RNA, 542 nt
Filed under: uncultured archaeon
Lineage: Archaea
Description: bacterial SSU rRNA
Rfam family: Archaeal small subunit ribosomal RNA
Source: RNAcentral